UACGGAGGGUGCAAGCGUUAUCCGGAUUUACUGGGCUUAAAGGGCGCGUAGGCGGAUAGGUAAGUCCGUGGUGAAAUCCUGCAGCUUAACUGCAGAACUGCCGUGGAUACUAUCUAUCUUGAAUGUCGUGGAGGUUAGCGGAAUAUGUCAUGUAGCGGUGAAAUGCUUAGAUAUGACGUAGAACACCCAUUGCGAAGGCAGCUAACUGGGCGAUAAUUGACGCUGAUGCACGAAAGCGUGGGGAUCAAACAGG
Molecule: ribosomal RNA, 253 nt
Filed under: uncultured bacterium
Lineage: Bacteria
Description: partial 16S ribosomal RNA
Rfam family: Bacterial small subunit ribosomal RNA
Source: RNAcentral